AACGAACGCUGGCGGCAGGCCUUUCAGAUGCAAGUCGAGCGCGCCUUCGGGUGAGCGGCGGACGGGUUAGUAACGCGUGGGAACGUGCCCUUCUCUACGGAAUAGCCUCUGGAAACGGAGAGUAAUACCGUAUACGCCCUUUGGGGGAAAGAUUUAUCGGAGAAGGAUCGGCCCGCGUUAGAUUAGGUAGUUGGUGGGGUAACGGCCUACCAAGCCUACGAUCUAUAGCUGGUUUUAGAGGAUGAUCAGCAACACUGGGACUGAGACACGGCCCAGACUCCUACGGGAGGCAGCAGUGGGGAAUCUUAGACAAUGGGGGCAACCCUGAUCUAGCCAUGCCGCGUGAGUGAUGAAGGCCUUAGGGUCGUAAAGCUCUUUCGCCUGUGAUGAUAAUGACAGUAGCAGGUAAAGAAACCCCGGCUAACUCCGUG
RNAcentral lists this ribosomal RNA (431 nucleotides) under uncultured bacterium. RNAcentral's name for it is "bacterial SSU rRNA". It matches the Rfam family "Bacterial small subunit ribosomal RNA", at positions 29 to 507 of the family's 1533-position model. The record is from RNAcentral.